UGGACUCCCUCCAGCCAUUCACGCCUUC
Molecule: small RNA, 28 nt
Filed under: Bombyx mori (domestic silkworm)
Lineage: Eukaryota; Metazoa; Arthropoda; Insecta; Lepidoptera; Bombycidae
Description: ovarian small RNA-8708
Source: RNAcentral